RNAcentral lists this transfer RNA (73 nucleotides) under Patescibacteria group bacterium. RNAcentral's name for it is "tRNA-Ile". It matches the Rfam family "tRNA". From Rfam's summary of the family: Transfer RNA (tRNA) molecules are approximately 80 nucleotides in length. Their secondary structure includes four short double-helical elements and three loops (D, anti-codon, and T loops). RNAcentral also lists the same sequence under 1 other name. The record is from RNAcentral.
GGGUCCGUAGCUCAGUGGCUAGAGCGCUUACCUGAUAAGUAAGAGGUCGAUGGUUCGAUCCCAUCCGGACCCA